Molecule: long non-coding RNA, 319 nt
Organism: Apodemus sylvaticus (European woodmouse)
Lineage: Eukaryota; Metazoa; Chordata; Mammalia; Rodentia; Muridae
Exons: 3
Source: RefSeq, a predicted model, not a curated record
UAUCUCUGAAGAUAGGUAGGCACACAAAAUGACCAGAGGCGAGUUCAACAUGUUAGCUUGGACACUGUGUUGAGAACCACAAAUGUUUGGCUGAUCAGUGCCACUGCCAGCGGGAAAGAGUGGACCUGCGGAGCCAGCCCAGAAGUGCCCACGCAGAGAAAAGGGGACCAGGAGGGCAUUUAAAAUAUUGUCGUGGGAUUGGUGGCUCCAGGGUCCAGCACCUACUGCUCAGAAUGCCCAGGAGUAUAAACAGGAGGAAGAUCCAGGAACAUGUCGUGGAUGGGCCUGGUGCUGUUCUUGUGAACCAUCCCCUAAUAAA